Molecule: long non-coding RNA, 284 nt
Filed under: Elaeis guineensis (African oil palm)
Lineage: Eukaryota; Viridiplantae; Streptophyta; Magnoliopsida; Arecales; Arecaceae
Description: long non-coding RNA (EGUI_LNC059359)
Source: RNAcentral
CUCCAGAAAUUCUCCAUGCCCCAGAAGCAAGAAACCCUAGGGUUCUUGCCGCCAGGUCCAUAAAAGGCAGGAAAACCAAGGGGAGGCGCUACAUCCUCCCCCUUUGUGCCGCCAACCAGAUCUGCUCUCCCUCUCUUGUAGCCACCCAAGCAUCAGGUCCAGGACUUGAAAUCUCUUGAGAAGAGGUUGGUACAAGUUUCUCUCAGAUCUAGAGUUGAUCUGAGGUCGUUUGAGGUGCGGGUGAGAUCUCCAUCAACAGAUCUACAGGAAAGGCUGCAGCAGGA